This 673-nucleotide ribosomal RNA is filed under the name Helvella alpina. RNAcentral's name for it is "eukaryotic LSU rRNA". It matches the Rfam family "Eukaryotic large subunit ribosomal RNA", at positions 119 to 796 of the family's 3401-position model. The record is from RNAcentral. Lineage: Eukaryota; Fungi; Ascomycota; Pezizomycetes; Pezizales; Helvellaceae.
AAUCCGGGGUCCCCGACCCCCGAGUUGUAAUUUGGAGAGGCAUCCUCCGGGAGGAGCGCUGGCCCAGGUUCCUUGGAACAGGACGUCAGAGAGGGUGAGAAUCCCGUGCCAGGCCGGCUUCCUCCUCCAGGGUGGAGGGCCUUCGACGAGUCGAGUUGUUUGGGAAUGCAGCUCCAAGUGGGUGGUAGAUUUCAUCUAAAGCUAAAUACCGGCGGGAGACCGAUAGCGCACAAGUAGAGUGAUCGAAAGAUGAAAAGCACUUUGAAAAUAGAGUCAAAAAGUACGUGAAAUUGUUGAAAGGGAAGCGCUUGAGGCCAGACUCGGACCCGAGCAAACAUCGAGCCCCUCGGGGCCGUGCAAUUGCUCUGGGGACGGGCCAGCAUCGGUCGGCGUGGCGGGACAAAGGUGCGGGGAAUGUGGCUCCCCCCGGGGAGUGUUAUCAGGCCCGCGCCCCAUGCCGCCGACGCCGACCGUGGACCGCGCCCCGCUAACGGGCUAGGAUGCUGGCAUAAUGGCCUUCAGCGACCCGUCUUGAAACACGGACCAAGGAGUCUAACGUCUAUGCGAGUGUUUGGGCGUCAAACCCUUGCGCGGAAUGAAAGUGAGCGGAGGUGGGAACCCCUAGCCGGGCGCACCAUCGACCGAUCCUGAUGUCUUCGGAUGGAUUUGAGUA